CGUAGAAUAAGUAAGUAAGUUACACUGACAUUGGAAUGAUACAGGGAGGAUCACCACGGCCCCUGUACAAGGAAGAUGCUCAACUUUGUGAGGCAUCCCAAAAUUUU
This is a small nuclear RNA of Cavia porcellus (domestic guinea pig), 107 nucleotides long. Lineage: Eukaryota; Metazoa; Chordata; Mammalia; Rodentia; Caviidae. The record is from Rfam.